RNAcentral lists this ribosomal RNA (301 nucleotides) under uncultured bacterium. Its description in RNAcentral is "partial 16S ribosomal RNA". It matches the Rfam family "Bacterial small subunit ribosomal RNA", at positions 509 to 807 of the family's 1533-position model. The record is from RNAcentral.
CAGCCGCCGCGGGAAUACGUAGGUGGCAAGCGUUGUCCGGAAUUAUUGGGCGUAAAGGGCUCGCAGGCGGUUUCUUAAGUCUGAUGUGAAAGCCCCCGGCUCAACCGGGGAGGGUCAUUGGAAACUGGGAAACUUGAGUGCAGAAGAGGAGAGUGGAAUUCCACGUGUAGCGGUGAAAUGCGUAGAGGUGUGGAGGAACACCAGUGGCGAAGGCGACUCUCUGGUCUGUAACUGACGCUGAGGAGCGAAAGCGUGGGGAGCGAACAGGAUUAGAUACCCGUGUAGUCCCUGUCUCUUAUAC